GUUGGUGNGGGUAACGGCUCACCAAGGCGACGAUCCCCUAGCUGGUCUGAGAGGAUGACCAGCCACACUGGAACUGAGACACGGUCCAGACUCCUACGGAAGGCAGCAG
Molecule: ribosomal RNA, 109 nt
Filed under: uncultured bacterium
Lineage: Bacteria
Description: partial 16S ribosomal RNA
Rfam family: Bacterial small subunit ribosomal RNA
Source: RNAcentral